This 2208-nucleotide unclassified non-coding RNA is filed under the name Hevea brasiliensis (rubber tree). Lineage: Eukaryota; Viridiplantae; Streptophyta; Magnoliopsida; Malpighiales; Euphorbiaceae. The record is from RNAcentral.
UUUUGCGGGGGAAGCUGGCCAUUGGAAAAGGCUGUAACCUCUGUAUCUGCUAAUAUAGUGUCCUCUUCCUUAAAUUCCCCUCUUAAGAUACCCUUGGCAAGUUCAUUUUCAACAUACUGCUGAAUCACCCGCUUGACUGGCCUAGCUCCAUAGUUGGGGUCAUAUCCAAGACUCCCUAAAAGCUCGACAGCUGCCUCACUCACCUGCAUCCUCAUCUUCCUGUCUGCAAUCCUCUGCUGCACGCGUUCCAACUGUAAUCUGACAAUGCUGUUUAUCUGAUUGCGAUCCAGCGGCUGGAAAACUAUGUACUCAUCCACCCUGUUCAUGAAUUCAGGUCGAAAGACUGAUCUUGCAGCUUCCAACACCCUUUGCUUGAUAGUUUCGUAAGCUACCUCCUUUGGCAAGUCAUCAUCUGUGUCAAGUAUGUAUUGUGAACCCACGUUGGAAGUCAUGAUGAUGACAGUGUUGGUGAAACUAACAGUGCGACCCUGCGAAUCCGUCACCCUUCCAUCAUCUAAGAUCUGAAGGAAGACAUUGAACACAUCAGCAUGGGCCUUCUCUAUCUCAUCAAAGAGAAUAACUGCAUAUGGCCUCCUUCGAAUUGUCUCUGUCAACUGUCCCCCCUCCUCAUAUCCUACAUAACCAGGUGGGGCACCUAUCAACCGUGAAACUGCAUGCUUUUCCAUGUAUUCACUCAUGUCAAUUCGCACAAGGGCUUCUUCAGUAUUGAACAUAUAGGAAGCUAGUGCUUUAGCUAGUUCUGUUUUUCCAACACCAGUAGGACCCAUGAACAUAAAGCUAGCUAUUGGACGCCGAGGAUCUGAAAGACCAGCACGAGAUCUUAGAUCUCUGAAUUGCCUCAGCUACUGAUUUCACUGCAGGAUCCUGACCCACCACACGUUUGUGCAGCUCUUCCUCCAAAUGUAGAAGCUUCUCUUUCUCUGAUUGUUUGAGCUUUGAAACAGGGAUGCCAGUCCAUUUGCUAACAACUUCAGCAAUAUCGUCUCCUGUAACUUCUUCUCUAAGCAUGGACUUUCCAGAUUUCAUAUACUCAUCCAACUCUUUCUCAGCACUUUCAAGCUGGCGUUGCAAAGAGUUCAGGCUGCCAUAUUUCAGUUCAGCAGCACGAUUAAGAUCAUACUCACGCUCAGCCUGCUGAAUCUCAAGAUUUACCCUGUCUAUCUCUUCCUUAAUUGACUGAAUGCGAGUCAUGACUGUCUUCUCGUGCUCCCAUUGCUCUGUCAGCUCCGCUUGUUUCUUUUUCAACAGGGACAAUUCAGCCUCAAGACGGCUCAACCGAUCUUUCGAAGCUCUAUCUGUAUCAUUUGUAAGAGAUAGCUUCUCCAUCUCCAAUUUCAAUACUGAACGGUCGAUUUCAUCAAGAGCAGUAGGCUUCGAAGUGAUCUCCAUUUUCAGUUUUGCUGCUGCUUCAUCAACUAGAUCAAUAGCUUUGUCAGGUAAAAAUCUUCCACUAAUGUAACGGUCAGAGAGAAUUGCAGCUUCCACAAGUGCACUGUCAGAAAUGCGAACUCCAUGAUGCAGCUCAUAUCUUUCACGUAGUCCCCGAAGAAUGGAAAUUGUAUCCUCCACUGAAGGUUGAUCAACAUAAACUUGCUGGAAACGACGCUCCAAGGCUGGGUCCUUCUCAAUAUAUUUUCGAUAUUCAUCCAGUGUUGUUGCACCAAUACACCUUAACUCUCCCCGACCAAGCAUUGGCUUCAAGAGAUUGCCCGCAUCCAUUGCACCAUUUGUAGCACCUGCCCCGACAACUGUGUGUAUCUCAUCAAUAAAAAGGAUAAUCUGACCAUCUGACUCUGUAACUUCCUUAAGUACAGCCUUCAGUCUAUCUUCAAAUUCUCCCCGAUAUUUUGCCCCAGCAAUGAGUGCACCCAUGUCAAGUGAUAUUAGCUUCCUGUUCAUCAGAGCUUGAGGUACAUCCCCUUGCACAAUUCUCUGGGCCAGUCCUUCAGAAAUUGCAGUUUUCCCAACACCUGGUUCACCAAUCAGCACAGGAUUGUUCUUUGUUCUCCUAGAGAGAAUCUGNNNNNNNNNNNNAUGACAGGGUCAAGCUUUCCUGCUUUUGCCAUAGCUGUCAAAUCUUUUCCAUAUUUCUCAAGUGCUUCAUACUUCCCUUCAGGAUCUUGGUCUAUAACUGAUUGGCGUCCCCUUAUUGAUUCUAUUGCAGAUCUCAGUGUCUGAAGAGAGAUC